RNAcentral lists this unclassified non-coding RNA (348 nucleotides) under Hevea brasiliensis (rubber tree). Lineage: Eukaryota; Viridiplantae; Streptophyta; Magnoliopsida; Malpighiales; Euphorbiaceae. The record is from RNAcentral.
AGACAUGGUACCUGAAAUCAUUUACAGUGGUAAAGAGGCAUGUAAAGAGUACAUUAAGAGAUUUUUGGCAGCAAUUCCUAUUAGGGAGUUACAAGUUGAUGUAAAGAAAGGAUUGAUGGCAUCGACACCCCUUCAUCAACGGCUACAAAUUGAAUUCCAUUACACAACUAGCUUUGACCCGAAGUUUGAGUCAUCGUCUACACAAGGACUGACCGCUAACAGUUUGGCCAUACUACCGUCAACAUCAGAGUAAGCAACGAUUAAGCUUUAUGAGUAUAUGCAUAAUGCUAAUCAUUUUAGGAAUUUUGAAUAGCUAAUUGCUGUUUAUCGCUCCCUGGAGAGUCCUUU